GUUCAUAUCUUGAAAUGGUUUUCAUAAACACUAUAGUGCGUCAUAUGCUCUUAUAAAUGAAAUGUCAGCAGUGGUGUGAAACAUCCGACACGGGCAGGAUCCCAUUCGGCCCGAGCUUCGAUAAAAGGUCUCUGCAGAGAAGAAGUUAUUCCACGCCUUGCUGGCAACGCAGCGGAAGAGCAAUGCGAGGAGACGCGGCAGCCCGCAGAGGUGCAGCGUCAACCAGCUCGCCGUCCCGCCGUCGGGGAACUGGCUGCACUGGCCAGGUGAGGACUGAUGCAGAGAGGCUGUGUGCGCACGUGAACCAGGCCGUGGCCGAUGGAAAACACGAGCGUUCCCCCGCUGGACAAAGUAUUAAAGGUGACACUGCAUUUGUUUUCCACCGCGACUGCACCAAGAGGAAGAACAAGUCCAGGUUGUGUGCGUGUUCCUCGGCUGUUGAUCCUGGUUCCUAUGGAGAUCGAGCACAGAAAUAGAUUACGGUGAUGAUUGAUUAUGUUUGUAUCGUCGGUGAAUCUGAACAGUUCUCACUUUUUAAAAAUAUACUUCUGUAGCAACACACGAAAACACAGCUCCACGUUUUAUUCCAUGGCAGUUUAAUAAUUUGUCUGAAGCAAAACAAAAAAAUAUCUUUAAUCAACGAUCGAAAUAAUUAGCAAAUCCAAAGAGUUACAUAAAAAUCUAUAAUUAAAAAAUCUGAUUCAAGAUUUUUUGUCUUAAUUAUAAAAUAACAUUUGGGAAAUAGGUGAAAAAUAUUCAUCACAUUUGUUAUUUUUCUGAAUGAAUAUUAAUAAUAAAACACCUUAAUUGAUAAAUCGUACGAGCUUCUUAUUGAAAUUUCCUUUUCAGGAUCAGUAAAAAACUAAACAAACGUCUCAUCUUCUCUUUCAAUCAGUGGACCCACUAAUAUUUGUUAUCAGUAAACACACGAACCCACUAACACGUGUGGUGAUUCAUUCAAAUACAUACCAAAAAAUAAAAAUGUAAAAACUUUGACCUUACACAAAGCUCUCCUCCCACCGUGUCCAGGAUGUU
This is a long non-coding RNA of Scophthalmus maximus (turbot), 1035 nucleotides long. RefSeq lists it as uncharacterized. NCBI's taxonomy places the organism in Eukaryota, Metazoa, Chordata, Actinopteri, Pleuronectiformes, Scophthalmidae. The record is from RefSeq and is a predicted model, not a curated record. The transcript has 3 exons.